UGAGGAAUAUUGGUCAAUGGGCGCAAGCCUGAACCAGCCAUCCCGCGUGCAGGAAGACGGCCCUAUGGGUUGUAAACUGCUUUUCCAGGGGGAGAAUUUUUCUGUCGUGACAGGAAUUGACGGUACCCUGGGAAUAAGCAUCGGCUAAAUCCGUGCCAGCAGCCGCGUUAAUACGGAGGAUACGAGCGUUAUCCGGAUUUAUUGGGUUUAAAGGGUGCGUAGGCGGAUUGAUAAGUCAGUGCUGAAAACCUGCAGCUUAACUGUAGACUUGACGUUGAUACUGUCAGUCUUGAGUGUGGUCAAGGUAGGCGGAAUGUGUAAUGUAGCGGUGAAAUGCUUAGAUAUUACACAGAACACCGAUUGCGAAGGCAGCUUACUGGGCCAUUACUGACGCUGAUGCACGAAAGCGUGGGGAUCGAACAG
RNAcentral lists this ribosomal RNA (423 nucleotides) under uncultured bacterium. Its description in RNAcentral is "bacterial SSU rRNA". It matches the Rfam family "Bacterial small subunit ribosomal RNA", at positions 355 to 775 of the family's 1533-position model. The record is from RNAcentral.